CCUGGUUUCCCUGAGGUGGAACACUUAGCAUGGGAAGGUGGCACACCACCAGGAAGCACUCAGAGGACAAAGCCUUUCUGUGAAGGCCUUGUUCUAAAUAUACAAACACGGAGCCUCCGAGAAUGAACAGAUCUGCAAGGCUGCAGUUUGAUUUGACCCAGUUUCAAGAAUUCCCAUCCCCCCGACAAUUUCCUCUGAACCCUAUCUCACCAACAUUAAUGAAGAACAGCCACUACCACAGUGUUGCUAGAACCUGUUUCUUUCCAUUCCUGGAUUGUGCCUGAGUCAAGCGGUGGUAACUGUGGACCGCAAGAAUGCUGAGCGCGUGAAUAAUCGAGCACCUGAAUAAUCGAGCACCUGUCGUAUUGGGUCUCCUUCUGAAGUCCUUGUACCAAGUAAAUGGAAGCUGCUGCAGUGUUGAAGUGAACCUAACACAAUGGUUAAGAAUGAAGACUCUGGAUGUCCUAAACAAAAGAAUGAAGAUUCUGGAGAGACAGACAGUUCUGGAUUAGUCAGUACCAUCCCUCAUUGAAGAAAUGGAGACCAUCACAGAGAACCACAACUGGACAUAAUGUAGAGAUCAAUGGAUUUGUGGGAUCCUGGCCCCAAUGGAUACAUCUAUAGCACAGCUCCUAUGUCUAUAGCUCAAGGAACAGCGUGGAAGAGGAAGUGGAAAGGCUACAAGGGCCGGAAUACCAGCAAGUCUGCUGUGAGACAGUCUUUCCUAAAAACGACUGUGUAAACAAGAUUGGAACAAUGGCAGUAUCAUUGGACAUGUUAACGUGGAAGGGGACAUUUCAAGAGUUUCUAGCCCUAGAAAGAGAAUUACAGGCAGCUAAUGACUGAUGGGAGAAGGAGAACUAACCUGUUCUGGGGAUGAGCCCCAUAUUGGUUGUCCAACCAUGACUGGCCAUGAAACCAUAUACACACAAAUAACAAAAUUAGAUUCAGCAGGUUAUAUUUAUAUGUGUUUGUGCACACACAUCCGUGUGUGUGUGUGUGUGUGUGUGUGUGUGUGUGUGUGUGUGUGUGCAACAAUAAUAUUCAAAGCAAAGGAGAAUAUCAUCCUUAGAGUUGGGGGAGUCGAUGGAGUAUCUGGCAGAAACUGUAGGGAAGAAGGGGGCAGAGCAUUAUAAUUCUAUUCUAACUGAAGCCAUUUUUAAAAGCCUUCCUGACUAGAACAGGAGGCUAUGCCCUAGUGACUCUGAUCUGUGUGUCCUGAUGAUCAGAGGAGCGGAACACUUGCUGUAUUGUCUUCCUACAUUGUUGUUUUUUCCAUACAGUUGUUGCCCAGUCAACCACUUUAAAAUUGACAGAUUUGUUUUCUGCUGUUCCAUGAGCGGCCCUGCACUGCACGCCACCCCCUCUGUCAGGUCCUGAAGUGCUGUUCAUCCGUACACGGCACGCCACCCCCUCUGUCAGAUACAAGGCUGAUGGCAUGUUGACUUCUAAUUCAGCCAAGGUUAAAAUAAUAAUAAUAAUAAUAAUAAUAAUAAUAAUAAUAAUAAAUAGAAA
This 1515-nucleotide long non-coding RNA is filed under the name Cricetulus griseus (Chinese hamster). RNAcentral describes it as "lncRNA (ENSCGRG00015037281.1)". Lineage: Eukaryota; Metazoa; Chordata; Mammalia; Rodentia; Cricetidae. The record is from RNAcentral.